UCGAGAGGCUUUGUCAAUGGGGGAAACCCUGAACAAGCGACGCCGCGUGGAGGAUGAAGGCCCUUGGGUUGUAAACUCCUUUUGUCGGGGAAGAAACACGAUCAGGUGAACAACCUGGUCGCUUGACGGUACCCGGCGAAUAAGCUCCGGCUAACUCCGUGCCAGCAGCCGCGGUAACACGGGGGGAGCAAGCGUUGUUCGGAAUCACUGGGCGUAAAGGGCGUGUAGGCGGUUUGGUAAGUGGAAUGUGAAAUCCCCCGGCUUACCCGGGGACCUGCAUCCCAUACUGCCAAGCUUGAGUACGGGAGAGGAUGAGGGAAUUCCUGGUGUAGCGGUGAAAUGCGUAGAUAUCAGGAGGAACACCGGUGGCGAAAGCGCUCAUCUGGCCCGAUACUGACGCUGAUGCGCGAAAGCUAGGGGAGCAAACGGGAUUAGAUACCCCUGUAGUCC
Molecule: ribosomal RNA, 450 nt
Filed under: uncultured bacterium
Lineage: Bacteria
Description: bacterial SSU rRNA
Rfam family: Bacterial small subunit ribosomal RNA
Source: RNAcentral